GACGAACGCUGGCGGCGUGCUUAACACAUGCAAGUCGAACGGGCCUUGUCCCCUUUUUUUUGGGGGUGGGGUUAGUGGCGAACGGGUGAGUAACACGUGAGUAACCUGCCCCUCACUUCUGGAUAACCGCUUGAAAGGGUGGCUAAUACGGGGUGUUCUGGCCUGCUCGCAUGGGUGGGUUUGGAAAGAUUCGACCGGUUUUGGUUGUUUUGGUGGGGGAUGGGCUCGCGGCCUAUCAGCUUGUUGGUGGGGUGAUGGCCUGCCAAGGCUUUGACGGGUAGCCGGCCUGAGGGGGUGGGCGGUCACACUGGGACUGAGACACGGCCCAGACUCCUACGGGAGGCAGCAGUGGGGAAUAUUGCACAAUGGGCGCAAGCCUGAUGCAGCGACGCCGCGUGAGGGAUGGAGGCCUUCGGGUUGUGAACCUCUUUCGCCAGUGAAGAAGGUCCUGCUCUUUGUGGUGGGGUUGACGGUAGCUGGGUUAAUGAAGCGCCGGCUAACUACGUG
This 507-nucleotide ribosomal RNA is filed under the name uncultured bacterium. RNAcentral's name for it is "partial 16S ribosomal RNA". It matches the Rfam family "Bacterial small subunit ribosomal RNA", at positions 28 to 507 of the family's 1533-position model. The record is from RNAcentral.